AAAUUGAAGAGUUUGAUCAUGGCUCAGAUUGAACGCUGGCGGCAGGCCUAACACAUGCAAGUCGAACGGUAACAGGAAUCAGCUUGCUGAUUUGCUGACGAGUGGCGGACGGGUGAGUAAUGUCUGGGAAACUGCCUGAUGGAGGGGGAUAACUACUGGAAACGGUAGCUAAUACCGCAUAAUGUCGCAAGACCAAAGAGGGGGACCUUCGGGCCUCUUGCCAUCGGAUGUGCCCAGAUGGGAUUAGCUAGUAGGUGGGGUAACGGCUCACCUAGGCGACGAUCCCUAGCUGGUCUGAGAGGAUGACCAGCCACACUGGAACUGAGACA
Molecule: ribosomal RNA, 329 nt
Filed under: Escherichia coli
Lineage: Bacteria; Pseudomonadati; Pseudomonadota; Gammaproteobacteria; Enterobacterales; Enterobacteriaceae
Description: bacterial SSU rRNA
Rfam family: Bacterial small subunit ribosomal RNA
Source: RNAcentral